Molecule: long non-coding RNA, 732 nt
Organism: Jaculus jaculus (lesser Egyptian jerboa)
Lineage: Eukaryota; Metazoa; Chordata; Mammalia; Rodentia; Dipodidae
Exons: 5
Source: RefSeq, a predicted model, not a curated record
AAGUAAUACUGGGAACACUGAAGUCUAGAAGGAAGUUGUAUUUUCUUUCUUUGAUUUCACAGUAAAAUAGGGAUUAUAGAGAGAUGUACUAUAACCUGUUAUAAUAUAUACUAAAUAUUUUUAAAAGAAUACUUUUAAUACCCUGCUGUUAAACAGAAUUCCUGACAGGAUUUCAAAAUAAUUGCAGACAACAAUUGCCCAUGAGCAUAAGAGAAGAGGAGAAAGCAAUCCUCUCUGCUUCCAGUAUACCCUUUUUGGGCCUUUAGCUAUCUACACAUUCGGAGAUUAUCUCAGCUGCAGAUGACUGCCUUGCCUCCUUCCCUCCUGAGAGAGUGUAAACACAAUGAUGGGAUCCCUCAUGACCAGCCAACUCAGAGAAACUUGUGGAAAUGGCAUCAAAUGGUCCUGCGAAGAAUUUCAUUCCUUCCGUGCUUGCUGAGAAUAUACUAAGUCCCAAGUAAACCAGACAUCACGUCAUCGGUGUGUCAUCAAAGCGGUGCCAGACUUCCUGCUAUCCCUGGGAAGGAGUCAGUGGCUAGUGAGAACACAAGAAGGAGGUCGCUCAGGAAAGUCAGCUAAAGUGUAUUCAAGCCAGCAAAGUGCUACAGCCAUGGAUCCAACAUAGAAAAUUAGCUUUGCCUAGAAGAGAUGUGGUAGUUUUUGAAUACAGCUCCUAGCAAGUCUUGGAUUUCCAUCAUUGAUUGAUUCUUUGGUUAAAAAUUUCAAGCAUAU